CAGAGGGGGAUAACGUUUGGAAACGAACGCUAAUACCGCAUGAUAUUAUCUUAUCGCAUGAUAGGAUGAUCAAAGGAGUGAUCCGCUGAAAGAUGGGCUCGCGUCCGAUUAGGUAGUUGGUGAGGUAACGGCCCACCAAGCCGACGAUCGGUAGCCGGACUGAGAGGUUGGACGGCCACAUUGGGACUGAGACACGGCCCAGACUCCUACGGGAGGCAGCAGUAAGGGAUAUUGGUCAAUGGGGGAAACCUUGAACCAGCAACGCCGCGUGAGGGAAGACGGUUUUCGGAUUGUAAACCUCUGUCCUCUGUGAAGAUGAUGACGGUAGCAGAGGAGGAAGCUCCGGCUAACUACGUGCCAGCAGCCGCGGUAAUACGUAGGGAGCGAGCGUUGUCCGGAUUUACUGGGUGUAAAGGGUGCGUAGGCGGCUAUGCAAGUCAGUAGUGAAAUCCAUGGGCUUAACCCAUGAACUGCUAUUGAAACUGCACAGCUUGAGUGAAGUAGAGGUAGGCGGAAUUCCCGGUGUAGCGGUGAAAUGCGUAGAGAUCGGGAGGAACACCAGUGGCGAAGGCGGCCUACUGGGCUUUAACUGACGCUGAGGCACGAAAGCGUGGGUAGCAAACAGGAUUAGAUACCCUGGUAGUCCACGCUGUAAACGAUGAUUACUAGGUGUGGGGGGACUGAACCCUUCCGUGCCGGAGU
Molecule: ribosomal RNA, 702 nt
Filed under: uncultured bacterium
Lineage: Bacteria
Description: bacterial SSU rRNA
Rfam family: Bacterial small subunit ribosomal RNA
Source: RNAcentral